This 300-nucleotide ribosomal RNA is filed under the name uncultured Haloquadratum sp. RNAcentral's name for it is "bacterial SSU rRNA". It matches the Rfam family "Bacterial small subunit ribosomal RNA", at positions 496 to 795 of the family's 1533-position model. Lineage: Archaea; Methanobacteriati; Methanobacteriota; Halobacteria; Halobacteriales; Haloferacaceae. The record is from RNAcentral.
GCAACGUCGGGUCCAGGCGGCGGGGUAAUACGGAAGGGUCAGUGGUGAAGCGGGAGUACUGGGCGUAAAGCGCAUGAAUGCGGCUUUGUAAGUCGGAGGUGAAAGCCCAGGGGUCAACCUGGGAAUUGCAUUAGAGACUGGGAAGCUAGAGUAUGUGAGAGGGGGGUAGAAGUCCAAGUGUAGCGGUGAAAUGCGUAGAGAUUUGGAGGAAUACCAGUGGCGAAGGCGGCCCCCUGGCACACUACUGACGCUCAGGUGCGAAAGCGUGGGGAGCAAACAGGAUUAGAUACCCGAGUAGUC